GAUCAACGCUGGCGGCGUGCAUGAGACAUGCAAGUCAAACGGACGAUCAAAGCUUGCUUUGAUCGUUAGUGGCGGACGGCUGAGUAACGCGUGGGUGACCUGCCCCGAAGUGGGGAAUAACUGCCCGAAAGGGUGGCUAAUACCGCAUGUGGUGAUGCGUUCAGACGCAUCAGCAAAGCCGCAAGGCGCUUCGGGAGGGGCCUGCGUCCGAUUAGCUCGUUGGUGAGGUAACGGCUCACCAAGGCGACGAUCGGUAGGUGGUCUGAGAGGACGAUCACCCAGACUGGGACUGAGACACGGCCCAGACUCCUACGGGAGGCAGCAGUCGGGAAUUUUGCGCAAUGGACGAAAGUCUGACGCAGCAACGCCGCGUGAGGGAUGAAGGCC
Molecule: ribosomal RNA, 387 nt
Filed under: uncultured bacterium
Lineage: Bacteria
Description: bacterial SSU rRNA
Rfam family: Bacterial small subunit ribosomal RNA
Source: RNAcentral